This 586-nucleotide ribosomal RNA is filed under the name Niallia circulans. RNAcentral describes it as "bacterial SSU rRNA". It matches the Rfam family "Bacterial small subunit ribosomal RNA", at positions 120 to 692 of the family's 1533-position model. Lineage: Bacteria; Bacillati; Bacillota; Bacilli; Caryophanales; Bacillaceae. The record is from RNAcentral.
UACAACCUGCCUGUAAGACUGGGAUAACUUCGGGAAACCGGAGCUAAUACCGGAUAAUCCUUUUCUACUCAUGUAGAAAAGCUGAAAGACGGUUUACGCUGUCACUUACAGAUGGGCCCGCGGCGCAUUAGCUAGUUGGUGAGGUAACGGCUCACCAAGGCAACGAUGCGUAGCCGACCUGAGAGGGUGAUCGGCCACACUGGGACUGAGACACGGCCCAGACUCCUACGGGAGGCAGCAGUAGGGAAUCUUCCGCAAUGGACGAAAGUCUGACGGAGCAACGCCGCGUGAGUGAUGAAGGUUUUCGGAUCGUAAAACUCUGUUGUUAGGGAAGAACAAGUACAAGAGUAACUGCUUGUACCUUGACGGUACCUAACCAGAAAGCCACGGCUAACUACGUGCCAGCAGCCGCGGUAAUACGUAGGUGGCAAGCGUUGUCCGGAAUUAUUGGGCGUAAAGCGCGCGCAGGCGGUCCUUUAAGUCUGAUGUGAAAGCCCACGGCUCAACCGUGGAGGGUCAUUGGAAACUGGGGGACUUGAGUGCAGAAGAGAAGAGUGGAAUUCCACGUGUAGCGGUGAAAUGCGUA